This is a long non-coding RNA of Dromaius novaehollandiae (emu), 458 nucleotides long. RefSeq lists it as uncharacterized. Lineage: Eukaryota; Metazoa; Chordata; Aves; Casuariiformes; Dromaiidae. The record is from RefSeq and is a predicted model, not a curated record. The transcript has 4 exons.
GGCAGAGGCGGCCUGGAGUCGAGCAUGUGGGGGCCGCGGUGAGGCGAGGGUAGCCCACCGAAGGGGGACAUCUCAAAGAGAAGCAGCAAGACCUGGGGAUCCGGUGGUUCAUUUUGGUCGUUGCCUGUGAGGCCAGCAUCCAAGAGUAAGAGGAAGCUAGGAGCAGUCUCAAAAAGAGAUGGAACCAAGGACAGCAAAUGCUGACGAAGAGAAGAGACGGACAAGCGUUUGCUUGUGGUUAAUACCGAAGGGACGGGAUGAAACAAGGAAGCCAGAAUGCAGCGGCCCCUCGAUAUCACCAGGAACUGCUACAGGAGGAGGCGUUCUGGCACGGGUAACUAAGCUCUCCGAGCUGAAUCCUAGCCCUGAAGGAAAAAGCACUGGGGGGAGGCUACUUGGACAUCUGCCACGUCGAGGGCAGGGGCAGGAGCUGACCCUUCCCCGACGGACGGACGGAC